Molecule: non-coding RNA, 146 nt
Organism: Gossypium raimondii (Peruvian cotton)
Lineage: Eukaryota; Viridiplantae; Streptophyta; Magnoliopsida; Malvales; Malvaceae
Source: Rfam
UAUUAAAAAAUUUAUCUAUUUGUACUAUUAAAAAUUUAUGUAGCUGAUGAAAUAAUUGGAUAAUGCUAUAUGGUGUGUCAUGCGCACAUUAUAUUGAUGCACAUUAAUCAAUUUCUUAACCAUAAAAAUGGAUGAAACUUUUAAUA